AGUGAACGCUGGCGGUAGGCCUAACACAUGCAAGUCGAACGGCAGCACAGUAAGAGCUUGCUCUUACGGGUGGCGAGUGGCGGACGGGUGAGGAAUACAUCGGAAUCUACUUUUUCGUGGGGGAUAACGUAGGGAAACUUACGCUAAUACCGCAUACGACCUACGGGUGAAAGCAGGGGAUCUUCGGACCUUGCGCGAUUGAAUGAGCCGAUGUCGGAUUAGCUAGUUGGCGGGGUAAAGGCCCACCAAGGCGACGAUCCGUAGCUGGUCUGAGAGGAUGAUCAGCCACACUGGAAAUGAGACACGGUCCAGACUACUACGGGAGGAAGAAGGGGGGAAUAUGGGACAAGGGGGGAAAGCCUGAUCCAGCCAUACCGGGGGGGUGAAGAAGGCCUUGGGGUGGUAAAGCCCUUUUGGUGGGAAAAAAAAGCAGCAGGUUAAUACCCCGUUGUUCUGACGGUACCAAAAGAAUAAGCACCGGCUAACUUCG
This 490-nucleotide ribosomal RNA is filed under the name uncultured bacterium. Its description in RNAcentral is "partial 16S ribosomal RNA". It matches the Rfam family "Bacterial small subunit ribosomal RNA", at positions 29 to 505 of the family's 1533-position model. The record is from RNAcentral.